RNAcentral lists this long non-coding RNA (231 nucleotides) under Elaeis guineensis (African oil palm). Its description in RNAcentral is "long non-coding RNA (EGUI_LNC048293)". The record is from RNAcentral. Lineage: Eukaryota; Viridiplantae; Streptophyta; Magnoliopsida; Arecales; Arecaceae.
ACCGGAUUCUUCGUGGCGGACGGACUCCACCCAAGUUUCCACGUUGAUCGACCACCUUCUAGACUUCGCCCGGACUCCUAUGGGAGCCGGACCUCAUCCCUGACUUCGGCUGCAGGCAGACUUCGUCUGGACUCCUACGAGAGCCAGACUCCGCCCACGACUUCAAUCACAGGUAGACUUCGUCCGGACUCCUACGGGAGCUGGACUUCGCCCCCGACUUCACUUGCAGGC